UGACAUUGUAUUCACCUCUAUUUAAUAGAGAUAUUCUUGUAUAAACAAUACAAUUUUAAGUCAUUAAAAUUAAUAUUGCAUCAGAGCAGACUCUGUUACUUUUCAAAUUUUAAAACAAAAAAUGGCAAACACCGCCACGACCAGUGCAACUCGGGAAGGUGAGUCUGAUGUAUCUACCGAGUCUUCACAGUGAAUAACCUCUAGAGAAGGACCAGUGGCUAGCUACGGUGAGUCCCACACUCUGCAGAUCACACAACACAAGCUCAAUGGAUCCAAUUACCUGGAUUGGUCUCAAUCGGUGCUAUUGGUUAUUCGAGGUAAAGGAAAAGUUGGUUAUCUUACUGGAGAGACAAAGAAACCAGAAGCACAAGAUACUGGAUAUCGGAUCUGGGAGUCAGAAAAUUCCAUGGUCACUGCGUGGUUGGUAAAUUCUAUGGAACCCAAGAUUGGUAGAAAUUAUUUAUCCUAUAAAACUGCCAAAGAGGUAUGGGAUCUCGCCCAAUCUAUGUAUUCUGAUUUUGGUAACUCAUCCCAAAUGUUUGAAUUAAAAUCGAUAUUAAGAGAUAUGAGGCAAGGCGAAACUACUAUAAUCGAUUACUAAAAUAUUUUGGUGGGUCUUUGGCAAGAAUUUGAUUUAUUUAAUGAUGUACGCUGGUCAUGCCCAGGAGAUGCUCUGAAGAAUACUCAGAAACUAGAAAAGGAGAGAUUGUUCGAUUUUCUUCAUGGACUGAACAAGGAAGGAUUCUUGGUAUAAAGCCACUGCUGUCAAUACAAGAUGCCUUUGCAAAGGUUCGACAUGAAGAGAGUAGAAGGAGAGUCAUGCUUUCAAGAUAUGAGAUCUCAAAUUUUCAAACUUGAUCCUAAAUCCCUUAAGUGUAUAUUUAUGGGUUAUUCUCAAUAUCAAAAAGGUUAUCAGUGCUUUUCUCCCUCCUUAGGAUGAUACUUAGUGUCUGCCGAUGUCACUUUUUUCGAGUCUACAUCGUUUUCUAGUACUACUGUGUCAUCUAAUCCAUCUUCUAUUGAGUCUGGGGAUGACUUCCUUAUUUACACUGUCACUACAUCUAUGUUACCAGUUUCUUCUCGUCCUUCUAUUCGAAGUGCUUACACUCGUCAUGUGCAACAAUCUUCGGUGGCACCUGAUGUUGGCCAUGACUUGCCUCCUCUACCUGCUUCUUCGCCUCAAGAUUUAUCACCUCCUCCUGAUCCUACUCUUAAUUUUCCCAUUACUCUCCGAAAAGGUAAACGAUCAUGUACCUAUCCUGUUUCUUCUUUUGUUUCUUAUCAUGCAUUAUCACCAUCUUCCAAGUCUUUCAUUGCUUCUUUAGAGCAUGUAUCCGUACCAAAAUCUAUCUCUGAAACUCUAUCCCAUAGUGGUUGGCAAGCAGCCAUGCAAGACGAAAUGUUGGCACUAGAACAUAAUCACAUAUGGGAAUUAGUUCCUUUACCUCUCCAUAAAAGGCAAUUGGUUGCAAAUGGGUGUUUACAAUCAAGAUGAAUCUUGAUGGAUCUGUUACUCGAUUGAAGGUGUUUACAGUCAAGAUGAAUCUUGAUGGAUCUGUUACUCGAUUGAAGGCUUGUUUAGUUGCUAAGGGGUAUGCUCAAACUUAUGGUGUGGAUUAGUCUGAGACUUUCUCUCUUGUUGCUAAGCUAGCUUCUAUUCGAUUAUGUUGAGAGGUUACAAUUUUAUUGUAAUAUAGUUAUCAUAGUCUUAGUUGUAUCUUCAUUUGAAUUUGAAUAAAUCUGGUAAGAUAAGGUAAGCUAGUUGGUUGGUUAGUUAGGAGUUGUUCCUUUAAUUUCUCUACAAUUUAUAUUCAAAUAAGGUCCUAUUUUUUAUGGGAUCUGACAUUGUAUUCACCUCUAUUUAAUAGAGAUAUUCUUGUAUAAACAAUACAAUUUUAAGUCAUUAAAAUUAAUAUUGCAUCAGAGCAGACUCUGUUACUUUCCAAAUUUUAAAACAAAAAAUGGCAAACACCGCCACGACCAGUGCAACUCGGGAAGGUGAGUCUGAUGUAUCUACCGAGUCUUCACAGUGAAUACCUCUAGAGAAGGACCAGUGGCUAGCUACGGUGAGUCCCACACUCUGCAGAUCACACAACACAAGCUCAAUGGAUCCAAUUACCUGGAUUGGUCUCAAUCGGUGCUAUUGGUUAUUCGAGGUAAAGGAAAAGUUGGUUAUCUUACUGGAGAGACAAAGAAACCAGAAGCACAAGAUACUGGA
RNAcentral lists this long non-coding RNA (2218 nucleotides) under Olea europaea (common olive). Its description in RNAcentral is "long non-coding RNA (OEUR_LNC004778)". The record is from RNAcentral. Lineage: Eukaryota; Viridiplantae; Streptophyta; Magnoliopsida; Lamiales; Oleaceae.